RNAcentral lists this ribosomal RNA (253 nucleotides) under uncultured bacterium. RNAcentral describes it as "partial 16S ribosomal RNA". It matches the Rfam family "Bacterial small subunit ribosomal RNA", at positions 524 to 776 of the family's 1533-position model. The record is from RNAcentral.
UACGUAGGGUGCGAGCGUUGUCCGGAAUUAUUGGGCGUAAAGAGCUCGUAGGCGGUUUGUCGCGUCGACUGUGAAAACCCGAGGCUUAACCUCGGGCCUGCAGUCGAUACGGGCAGACUAGAGUUCGGUAGGGGAGACUGGAAUUCCUGGUGUAGCGGUGAAAUGCGCAGAUAUCAGGAGGAACACCGGUGGCGAAGGCGGGUCUCUGGGCAUUAACUGACGCUGAGGAGCGAAAGCAUGGGGAGCGAACAGG